GGGGAUUUAGCUCAGUGGUAGAGCGCUUGCCUAGCAAGCACAAGGCCCUGGGUUCGGUCCCCAGCUCCG
Molecule: non-coding RNA, 69 nt
Organism: Rattus norvegicus (Norway rat)
Lineage: Eukaryota; Metazoa; Chordata; Mammalia; Rodentia; Muridae
Source: Rfam